This 497-nucleotide ribosomal RNA is filed under the name uncultured bacterium. RNAcentral's name for it is "partial 16S ribosomal RNA". It matches the Rfam family "Bacterial small subunit ribosomal RNA", at positions 28 to 507 of the family's 1533-position model. The record is from RNAcentral.
GAUGAACGCUGGCGGCGUGCCUAAUACAUGCAAGUCGAGCGAACAGACGAGGAGCUUGCUCCUCUGACGUUAGCGGCGGACGGGUGAGUAACACGUGGAUAACCUACCUAUAAGACUGGGAUAACUUCGGGAAACCGGAGCUAAUACCGGAUAAUAUAUUGAACCGCAUGGUUCAAUAGUGAAAGACGGUUUUGCUGUCACUUAUAGAUGGAUCCGCGCCGCAUUAGCUAGUUGGUAAGGUAACGGCUUACCAAGGCAACGAUGCGUAGCCGACCUGAGAGGGUGAUCGGCCACACUGGAACUGAGACACGGUCCAGACUCCUACGGGAGGCAGCAGUAGGGAAUCUUCCGCAAUGGGCGAAAGCCUGACGGAGCAACGCCGCGUGAGUGAUGAAGGUCUUCGGAUCGUAAAACUCUGUUAUUAGGGAAGAAAAAAAGUGUAAGUAACUAUGCACGUCUUGACGGUACCUAAUCAGAAAGCCACGGCUAACUACGUG